Molecule: long non-coding RNA, 294 nt
Filed under: Phoenix dactylifera (date palm)
Lineage: Eukaryota; Viridiplantae; Streptophyta; Magnoliopsida; Arecales; Arecaceae
Description: long non-coding RNA (PDAC_LNC017413)
Source: RNAcentral
GGGGUCUCGAUUACGGGAUCGAGACACCGCCUCGACGAGCUCGAGGACCCCCAUCAUUAAUCCGCCGCGAAGCAAUCUCGGCAAUUCAAGAGACGCCACCCCCGCUUCAAGAAGCGUAAUGAUACGAGCUUCAUCAUAAGCUCGCUGAAUAAAGCAGCCUCGAGACGCCAAAGGGCGCAGGUUUCACCAUGAAAACUCCGAGAAGCGUAAGGGCGCGGACGAGAUUCGCCCCUCCCCAACUUUAAUGAUAGACUUUACUUCCCACGUCCGAGCCCACAAGCUGCUCGAACUCGG